Mauremys reevesii (Reeves's turtle) is the source of this 2260-nucleotide long non-coding RNA. RefSeq lists it as uncharacterized. Lineage: Eukaryota; Metazoa; Chordata; Testudines; Geoemydidae. The record is from RefSeq and is a predicted model, not a curated record. The transcript is spliced from 6 exons.
GAGGAAUUCAAUCUUGCAGAGAGGAGAAAUGUGAUAAAGACCAAGUGCCUAUAAAUGAGCCUAUAAGAACUUGUUGCAAACUGCAGAGAUUUCAUUUACCCAGCAAAAUAUUUAAGAUAUAUAUAAAGAAUAUGCUGCUUUAUUCACCAUGCACCAUGCCACCGACCCUGCCCACGGUGAGUGGAAGAGUUCAUUGCAAGAGAACAAGGAUGGUCUCGAGACUAAAGCACACAAGGAGAUCUGAGCUCUAGCCCCCAGGUCUGCCGCAGACUUUCUAUGUGACCCUAGGGCAAUGGCAGUGAUCCCUGCCAGGCCACUUUUCUGAGAUGGAUCCUUCGCUGUUGGCCAGCGUAUAAAAGUGUGUGCUGCUGCAGACCCAGGCACGUGGCAUCCACUCUGGCAUGCAAGGACUGUUACUCUCCUUUAACAAGCCACCAACAGAAGCAGCAAGAACAACCACCUGAAGUUCAGGGAUCCUUGAGAAGGGAGUUGUGGUCCAGUGGAUGAUAGUGUGUACAUGGCAGACAGAGACCAGAAAGUAUGUCCACCAAACCCAGCAAUAAGUGAUUGCUCUUCAUCUUCAUUCAUAAGUCAUGAUCUUCAAAGGCUCAGAUGACAGACCUCAACUCAUCAGGCGGUUUCUCUUUAUAAUACCAAGAUCAUAUGCUGUUUUAUAAAUUCUAAGGGCUCUGUCGUUGCUGAUGGGGGUUGUGAGGGAUGGUGUGCUAUCAUGUGAACUCACAUUACAUUUUAAAUGGGAGAAUGGAUGUAUCGACUGCAUGGUAUUGAGCAAGUAGAACAUCCCAAAAAAUGUGCCUGGGCAUCAACAUCUUAAUGGAUCUUGGACAAGAUUCAUGCACUGAGUGUGGAUUUCAGUGCGGCCAUUCAGUCAUGCCCUCGACACAGCCUCCAUCAGAUCUUUGGGGACCAGAAUUGCUUGGUUUCAGAGCACAAUCUAAGAGACUUGGGUGGAAGGGUCAGGGCCAGAGUGCAAGGUGAACAGAUGCUAACAGAACACACAAAAAUGAAAGCUGUAUUCGAUCCCUGCCUAAAACGAUGUGCUGGGCUUUUUAUCCUAUCUUACUCGAGCUUUACAAGGCAAGUUUUUCCAGUGAAAGCUAUGCAGUAAGGGAAGUUUACCACAGCUUGAUUUCACUGAUCAUAUUUAUAAUCUCUUGCUUUUUUAGCAUGUGUUUUAAUUAAAUGUCAAGCACGCACACACGGAUAACGAAACCAGAAAUAUCUGGUUUCCUCUGCCCCCAGUUUUUAUCUCUGACAGUAAAUGACUAACAAAUAGCUGAUUGUCCUAUAAUAUAACGUGUUUAAUUAUUUAGUGUGGGGUUUGUUUGUUUAUUUAUUUAUUUAGUGCUAGUGGAAAGUGCUAGAUUGACAGCGACUGAAUUCCUGUUUCUCCAGAGACGCAGGCAGAGCACAGACAAGGGAGAGUGGCAGUGCUGCCUAGUGAUGGAGCAGGACUGGCCUUGAAUGGGAGUCCAGAGACCUAGGUUCUAAGCCUAGUUCCAUCAGUGACGUGUUGUGUGAUGUUGGGCAAGUCACUUCUCUGCUCUGUUCCUCAGUUUCCCCAUCUGUCAGAAUGAUAAUGACCCAUUUUUGUAAAGUGCUGUGAGCUCUAUGAAUGGACACUGCUAUAAAAGCUAACCAACAGCAAUACUGCAGCUUCUCCCACAUACUGCUCUGAUGAUAGGCCUCAAAUCCCCGUCCACCCAGCCCCCUGCCUCCAUACUACUCUGGCAUAAAAGGAUGGCUUAGGCUCGUCGGCCCAAGAAAUCCUCAGUCUCUCUUCUGAGACAGGCAACCAGGGUGCCAACUGGGUUGAAUAUGAUGCUUUUUUGCGGGGAAGGGAGAUGGGCACCUGUCCCCUAGGAACUGGACUGAGAACGUGGCAUGUGACUGAUUCAUUCUAAUGGCUGCAGUUUAGUUUAAAUUAGUUUUGGGGAUCCAUCUUUUUGUUGUGUGGCUGUACAGUGGUCCAUGACUUAGGCUCUUGCCCACUACUGCCAUACAAAUAAUAAUAUUUCAUUGCACACCUGUUAAAAGUACGGUGGGACUUUAUUUUUUUUUAAAGACACCUUCUUCACAGCAGCGACUGCUAUUAAAUCUUUGCAGAGAAGAGUGGCCCAUCUCUCAGUUUUGACUGUAGAUUAACGAGGUUCUACCGCAAUAAUAAUUUCCAGCGGUAAGGCGUGAGUGACAGAGCUAGUGGGAUCAAUAUCUAUUCAACAGCAUUAUUUUUGAGGGC